AGUCACUGACAUUAGAUACCCCGGUAGUCCCAGCCGUAAACAAUGUGCGUUAGGUGUGUCGGUAACCACGCGUUACUGAUGCGCCGAAGAGGAAUCGUGAAACGCACCACCUGGGAAGUACGGUCGCAAGGCUGAAACUUAAAGGAAUUGGCGGGGGAGCACCACAACAGGUGGAGCCUGCGGUUUAAUUGGAUUCAACGCCGGACAUCUCACCGGAUAAGACAGCUGAAUGAUUGUCAAUCUGAAGGUUUUACAUGACUAGCUG
This 265-nucleotide ribosomal RNA is filed under the name uncultured archaeon. Its description in RNAcentral is "partial 16S ribosomal RNA". It matches the Rfam family "Archaeal small subunit ribosomal RNA", at positions 718 to 982 of the family's 1478-position model. The record is from RNAcentral.